ACAAUUGUGUUGAAAAAAUUUAGAAAAAGUAGUAUUUCAAAUUUACACAGCUCACUUUAAAUUAAAUGAAUGAAACGCAGUUGUGUUGCUUCUGCAGUACCUCACAUGCUCACAUGGAAAGCAGGUUCAGUGAUAUGCUUCUGCUCUCUUCAGACUGCGCCAUUUUCUGUGAAUCGAAUCUCACAAAAAUCGCUGUGCGAACGGGGACACAUGCAAAGUUUCUUAUUAUCUGGACACACAGAGUUUUGGAGUCCUGCCUUACAUGUGGCUGUGCAGAGAUUGUGGAUCUUCACAAACAUCCAGGUCAAAGCUUUUAAAACACCUCAGUUUUAUGCAAGACAGAAGACGUGAAGAUCUACGGAUUUGAGAAAGUCUUGCGACCUCUUUUGCACGAUCUCAAAACUUUGGAGCAGCAAGGUGUGUAUGUCCACCAGCUGGGAACAUUCUUUAAAGGAACAGUACAAUGUGUUGUAGCCGAUAAUCUGGCCACACAUUGUAUGGCUGGCUUCACUGAAAACUUUUCAGGUGAGUACUGUUGUUGAUUUUGUACAGCUUCUCGUACAGAUUCUCAAACUGAAGUGAAAGCAGGUGAAUUUACACUUCAGAUUGCAGAAGAACACCAAGGACAUGUUAAACAUCCUACAGAAAAAGGAGUAAAUGUCAUGGGUGUGAAAAAAGCAUGUGUUUUCAGUGACAGCCUUAGCUACUUUAGUGUUACAGGCUAUUCUCCUGAUUUGGCACACGAUCUUUUUGAAGGCAUAGUAUCAGUUGAGCUGGCAGAGUGCUUUGCUGAACUUAUUUCAAAGAAGAUCUUGUCUCUUAAUAGGAUCAAUGAACUCAUCCGUACUUUUCUGUACAAAUGGGGUGAUAAGACGAAUCGACCUCAAAUGGCGCCACGGACAUUUGCAAGUAAAAACUCAAUUGGUGGCAAUGCACAUGAAAAUUGGUGUCUGUUAAGAUUACUGCCAUUGAUUAUUGGACAUUUGGUGCCUGCAGAUGAACCUGUGUGGCUUAUGAUUUUAGACUUAAAGGAUAUUGUGGAACUGGUUGUGUCUCCAGUUCAUACAGAUGAGACCAUUGCAUACUUGGAAUGCAAGAUCUCAGAACACCGUCGGAAAUAUCAGGAGCUGUUCCCACAUAAACAACUGCUUCCAAAGCAUCACUUUUUGGAGCACUAUCCAGAAAUGAUUUGCAGUUUUGGCCCUCUAGUUUUUCUUUGGACAUUGUGAUUUGAAGCUAAGCAUAACUACUUUAAGCAAGUAGUUAGGCACACAAAUUGCUUCAAGAACAUAACACUAACAUUGGCAAGUAAACACCAAUUGAUGGUUGGAUGUUACAUGCAAUUACCCAGCUCUGAAGAGGCCACCUUCAGAGCAGGUCACACAUGUCUCUGCAAUCACUGUAGAACUGUAGAGAGGAUGUUGUACAUUGCCUUAAUGUUAGGUAUCCUGGUAUCACCACUGUCAACAUUGCCCAGAAUGUCUCUUGUGAUGGCAUCACCUACCGAAAUGGCAUGAUAAUUACCUAUGGGUCUCAGAUUUGUAUAAUCAUAGAUAACCUGGCUUUCAUUGCCAAAAAAAUGUGUUCCUGGUAUCGAGAGCACUUCAGGGCCUUCGAAUUGAUACCAACUCAUGAAGUUUGCUUAAUUUCCCACAAUGAGUUGAAAGACCCAUACCCUCUUGCUGAUUAUUUGGUUGGAGGUGUCCGGCUGAUUACCCUAAAAAGACACAUACUGACAGAUGAGGUGUAAUAACCAGCCAUUAAAGUCUUGUGGGAAAUUCCAUCCAUCCCUCCAUUUUCUGUACUGCUUAUCCAACACGGGGUCAUGGGGGAGCCUGGAGUCUAUCCCAUAGAACUCAGGGCACAAGGCGGGGGAUACCCUGGUCGGGUGCCAACCCAUUGCAAGGCACAAUCUCGCACACAUUCACACACUACAGACAAUUUAGAAAUGCCAGUUAGCCUACAAUGCAUGUCUUUGCAGUGGGGGAAGAAACUGGAGUACCCAAAGGAAACCCCCGCAGCACAGGACACACACAGGGCAGAGGCGGGAUUCACACCACCAACCUUGUGGGAAUUUGCAAUGUAUUAAUCUGUUGUAUGUAUUUCUGCUUGUAGGUCUUUGUGAAGAUCAUAGUACACGGUGUUGACCAAAACCCCCAUAUGAAGUUUUAAGAAUAGAAUUCACUCCUCAGGGUGUUAAGACAAAAUGUUAUUCUAAUAAUGAAAUAUUUCUUUCACUUUAUAGUAAACAUCUGUUUAUUGGCAUACUUUAAGAAAUAUCUGUAGUUAGGUUUGGAUUGCUGGCAUUGUACUCAUAUAUUCAUCUUCUCUCCCUCUCUUUCAAAAAACCAGUUUGACAUGGUGGGUAUCCCAGCCAAACUUCUAGUAAUCUUGGGAGAAAAUAAUUGUGAAAGGUUAAAUCUUCCAACUGGUACACCAGACUCGUUGAAUGACCUUAAAAGAGAAAUCCAAACACAGCUUAGAGUCUUUUAAGAUUUUCGACUUCAAUUCAAAGAUCCUGAUUUUAAUGAUUUUGUCAACUUCAGUUCAACUUCAGACAUACAAGACAGAGCUACACUCAGUCAUUCAGUUGCAUUCAUCUACAAGUAUCCCUUCUGCUUCACCUGUGCCAGAAAUAAAUGAGGCAUCUUCAGUUUCAUCCUGUGACACAGACAUAAUCUCAUCCCCACAGUUGUCUGUACUCUCCACUCAGGGAUGGCCUGAAAGUUUCCCAAUACCACAGUUUAGAUUUGAUGCUGAGAUGCAACUACAAAAAGCUCAACAUGCUUAUCAAACUGAUGGCAUUGUCCUGAGCCCCAAUGCCAAGCUUAAUUCUGACAUUUUGGAUGCUUCAGCUUCAGAAAUAAUAAAGUACAAGGCAUACCCUUCAAAUGCAGAUCUUGAUGACGUAGCUGCUGCUUUGGUCCAGAAGCACCCGUGCCUCAAGGAAACGUCUCUGUGAGCGGCUACUAUGGCUGGAAAAUUAGUUUAAAAUACAAGAUGGCAAACUACAGAACAAAAUUGAGGAACAUCAACUUAGCUAAACAAGCUAAACAUCAACUCCCAUAAGCAGAAAGGAUCUAUGGGAAGUCCUAACCAAGUGAAGAAACGUAGAAAAGCCAAGGUAAAUUACUAUCCAGAUUACCCAUUGUGUGAAACAAAAGGUAAUUCAGGUGUAUGCUCAUCCGUAACAAUUUUGUAUUUCAUCUGUGUGUAAGUGCUGGCAAAGAAAUGCUGUAUUGGUAUAUGAUAAUAUUGUAAGGAUUGUCAGAAAUUUAUCAGCAACCACCCUGAUUUGUCAUUUUAAAAUGUUAUUAGGUAUCUGCGGAAUUCAGCAUAAUUACAACAAUCCCUCUGGUGUCCAAAUUUAUGGGUCAGCUUGAUAAUUUCUCAGCCCAGCUCCUCAGAAUUUUCAAAAAGAAAGGAGGAACAGGGGCUCAGAAAAUCACAAGCGUCCUGUCAGUUAUGGAUCAGAAUGCCACCAUCGAAAAAAAACAUAAAUGCGCCCUGAGAGCACUUGCUGUUUACCUGAAUGAAGACCCCUCAAACCUCAUGAAGGAGUACAUGGAUAUUUCACAUGAUGAAGCCCUAACCUCUAUGCAAAAGAUGACUCUAGGAAAAAAAUCUUGAAUGAUCGUGAUCAGAGAUCUUUAAAACGCUUGGUGAUGUCACAUCGUAAAAAAAAUCUACAGGAGAACUCACGGCUAUGUUUAAUAGUGAAAGUAAGAGCAUUUCCACAUGCACAAUGUGAUGAGAACUUACAGGAUUUGGACUAAACAGCUGUGUGGCUACAAGAAAGCCAUUUGUUAGUGAGGCUAAUCGGAAAAAAUUACUUCAAUUUGCUAGGGAGCAUAAAGACUGGACUGUGGCGCAAUGGAAAAAGGUCAAGUGGUCUGAUAAAAUCAGAUUUACCCUAUUCCAAAGCAAUGGGCGUGUCAGAGUAAGAAGGGAAAUGCAUGAAGUGAUUCACCCAUCAUGCAUAGUACCUACUGUACAAACCUCUGGAGGCAGUGUAAUGAUCUGGGGUUGCAUCAACUGGUCAGGUCUAGGCUCAGCCUCAUUGUGUGGCAAUAAAAUGAAGUCAGCUGAGCACCUGAAUAUACUGAAUGACCACGUUAUCCCUUAUCCACUGGACUUUUUCUUCUCUGACAGCACAGGCAUAUUCCAGGAUGAAAAUGCUAAGAUUCAUCAGGCUUAACUUGUGAAAGAGUCGUUCAGGGAGCAUGAGGAAUCAUUUUCACACAUGACUUGGCCACCACAGAGUCUUGACCUUAACCCCAUUGAAAGUCUUUGGGAUGUGCUGGAGAAAACUUUACGGAGUGGUUAGACUCUCCUGUCCUCAAUGCAAGAUCUCAGCCAAAAAUCAAUGCAACUCUGGAUGGAAAUAAAUGUUGUGAAGUUGCAUAAUGUUGUUGAAACAAUGCCAGAACGAAUGUGUGCCGUAAUCAAAGAUAAAUGCAGUGCAACAAAAUAUUAGAUUGUGCGACUUUUUUUCGGCCAGGUAGUGUAUUUCAAAAGAUUUUUAUGGAGCUAGAGGCAAACAAGCUCUCAAAUAAGGUCCAGGUCCUGAAAAAUAAACUACUUUUGAAAACUCUGUAACCUGAUGUCAGGACCAAAAGGCAGGGUUUUUGCUUUUUCAAUAAAGCAAUGUUGACUGUUACAUUUGUUUGAGUAUUGACCAUGUUAUGUUCCUUUCAAUAUCGGUCUUGUUUUGAACAACUGCUGCUUUUUUUCCAAUUUAAAGGAAGGCACAGAUUGCAAAAGAAGGGGACUGCUGAUUUUUUCCCCCCCAAAAGA
This is a long non-coding RNA of Pangasianodon hypophthalmus (striped catfish), 4797 nucleotides long. RefSeq lists it as uncharacterized. The record is from RefSeq and is a predicted model, not a curated record. The transcript is spliced from 5 exons. Lineage: Eukaryota; Metazoa; Chordata; Actinopteri; Siluriformes; Pangasiidae.